This 2331-nucleotide long non-coding RNA is filed under the name Lotus japonicus. RNAcentral describes it as "long non-coding RNA (LJAP_LNC002114)". Lineage: Eukaryota; Viridiplantae; Streptophyta; Magnoliopsida; Fabales; Fabaceae. The record is from RNAcentral.
UGAAAUAAUUUAAAGAUUAAAUUUCUUUGAUAGCCAUAACUCAUUUAAAUUGGCAACAUGCACACAGAUUGAUUACUGGACAUAUCUGCUUUAAUUUUAUGUUGUUUCAAGCAUCUAAACUUCACAUGAACUUCUUUUCUUUGACAGGUCCCCUAGGAAUCUUGUUGAGAAAUUUAGAAUCCAAUGUGCUGAACAAUCUCCUCAGGUCUUGGUUUCCUUUACUUGCUAGAUAAUCCACCUCAUAUUCAUACCGCUCAUACAUAACAGGAACUGUCACGAAGCACAAAAACACUGGAAAAAAGAAUAGUCAACAAUUAUUAUAAGCAAAGCUCAAUUAGGAAGCUUAAUUCAUAUAUAACUAUGCCAUAAGAAAAUAAAAAUUGGAAGGUGUUUGGGAAUUGGGAUCUCACUGAGGUAUAGAAGAUUAGCAAUGGUGAAGUAAUUCCCAAUAAUUGAAACGAUCACGAGACCAGAUAUUGUCUGAAAUUCAAUCAGUUAACAAAUACAUUAAUUAAUUAACAAAAUAUGGGUGUGUUGGUAGAAAUUACUUAUUAGAAUAAGUGAAAAAUGGUUUGUUAAUUUGUUAAUACCACAAAGAAGAGUUUCAGGUCUUGGCCAGUUGAAAUUUCGUAAAAUUUCCUCAAGAACAAGUUGAGCUUUGUGUGGAAAUAUCUAAUGGUGGAUUCUGGGAUUGCAAUAUCGUUGAUUUUAGGAAUUCUCCUGCAAUUAAUAAACAUGAUUUUAACUAUGGUUUGCACAAACAAAUUAAUUUACGCAACUAAGUGUAAGGUUUCAUUUUGAUUAAUUACCAUGUGACUAGUCCAGCUGCAUUGUACCAAAUGAAGAGGAUUAGCAUAAAGGCUAUGAGGGUGUGACAAACCAAAGUAAGAAGAUUGUAUUCAGCAACUUCAAACAGAAACCAAACAAUGGAGAACCCAGCUACUACUGCUGCUGAUGUUACCUUGUCUGUCCAUAGCAACACAUCAGCAACUGCAAAAAAAUUAAAAAUAAAUAAAUAAAUAGAAAGAAAUGUUGUUUACUUUUUGUUUGGUCUUUGCCUUUGGAAUAUGAGCAAUAAUGCACCCAAUGUUUUGGGGUUUAGUGCAUGUUCGCUCAACUUGGCCCAAGCCCAACCACAUCAAACCAUUAUUUUGGAAUAGAGGUCAUAGGAGACAAGCUUUCUACCAAUCAUGAUAUUGAACAGUUUCAAGUUAUGAUUUCAGCUUGUCAUCUUCCUCCCUUUUGUCCAUUAAUAAAGUAAGAAAAAAAAAGAGAAAAAAGAAUAUAAUGUGAUAAGAAGACAAAAAUAAAGGAAAAAUUUGAGAUUUGGAUUUGUUGUUGGUGAUUUUUCCUAAAUUUAUUGUAGUCAGGAUCGAUAUCUUUUGCGUGAUGAUGAAACAUCUUUCUAUUUAAAGAUUCAAAUUGUCUAUUUGAUGAUGAAGUUUUAAAUUUGGUGCAUAGAAUCUUGAUCCAACAACUAUUGAACCCUAACUAAAGGGAAUUUACGAAAGUUUGAUUGUAUGUGACUCAAAUAUGAAAUUUAAGAUGCAACUCUAAAAAUUUCAAUGAACAGUGAUAUGUGAAAUCAUCGUUGAUAUUAUUGAAAAAGCAAUGACAGAGUAACAUGACAAGAAGAAUUUAGAGACAUUAAUAAUGAAGGAGACAUGAUGAGGUGAGGUUUUAAAAAUAGCUUACUCUUUCCUCCGCCAAGGAGUGCGUGGAGUGGUGUUUGAUGGCUGAUCAAACCUGAUAAUGAAAAUCUUAAAUAAAUUUAUUUUUUUCCACCAAAACUUAUCCGAAGUCCCUAAAAACAUUGGAAUUACUACAUGUUUUCAGAAGAAGAAGAAAAAAACCUAGUAGUUUGACCCAUCCGACUAUUGGUCCACCGGAUUGGUGAGUUUUUUUUAUUACAAGAUUGGUGAGUUUAAUGAGAUUCUACGUAUAACUUGAGUAUUUGUAUUAGAAUUCUGUCAGACGUAGCAACUAAAACAUAUAUUCAGGAAUUUAAACAUUCAACUGCAGGAAAUCGGCAACAUGCACUGAAAUAAUUUAAAGAUUAAAUUUCUUUGAUAGCCAUAACUCAUUUAAAUUGGCAACAUGCACACAGAUUGAUUACUGGACAUAUCUGCUUUAAUUUUAUGUUGUUUCAAGCAUCUAAACUUCACAUGAACUUCUUUUCUUUGACAGGUCCCCUAGGAAUCUUGUUGAGAAAUUUAGAAUCCAAUGUGCUGAACAAUCUCCUCAGGUCUUGGUUUCCUUUACUUGCUAGAUAAUCCACCUCAUAUUCAUACCGCUCAUACAUAACAGGAACUGUCACGAAGCACAAAAACA